This is a long non-coding RNA of Aethina tumida (small hive beetle), 1980 nucleotides long. RefSeq lists it as uncharacterized. NCBI's taxonomy places the organism in Eukaryota, Metazoa, Arthropoda, Insecta, Coleoptera, Nitidulidae. The record is from RefSeq and is a predicted model, not a curated record. The transcript is spliced from 2 exons.
AAAAAAUAGAAUGUUCAGUUAAUGUUUAAAUUUUAGUGUGACCUAUAUUCAAACUAUUAAGUGAAUAAUUGUCAUUAAAAAUACUAAUUAAGUUGAAAAAGCAUUUACAAAGGAUUAAAUGUUCACUUAAAGUUGAAAAAUUAAAAAAUGAAAUAUGAAAAUCUAAAAGUCCAUUAAAAUUUUGAUGUCCACUUGAAUCCUGGUUUACGACAUUUAUUCAGGAUAUAUGAAUAAUUGUUUUAAUACAUCGUAAAGUUGUAUUGUUUAGAAACAUUUCACAAAAACACAAAAUUCACCAAUAAAAUCUAAAGAGUUCAUCUAAAGUUUAAUAAUCGACAAUAAAUGUAUGAAAAACCAAAACGUCAAACCAUCAAAUUAAAUCCGAAACACAUUUUAAAACAGUCGCAGCGUUCCCAAACGCAUUCCUCAACAACCGCAAAAAUCACGGAUAAAAAGCCGAACGCGAAGUUUAAACCUCCAACACAAUUGAGCCGCGAUCAUCCAGAUCACAGCGACUCAUUCACGUUAUCCUCCCGACGGGAUAAUUGAGUUGGUACAUUUUAAAAUAGUUGGAAUGUCUGGGACACAAUAGAAAGUAAUUUGAAUUUGGCACGGAGCUCGCGUCAAAGGAAUUUCCGGCAAGGAAUCCGGACUCUUUAACUUUAACGCACAACACGUCUCCGUGCUUGUGCACUUGUUUCUUUCCCCCGUGUGUGCGUGGGCGUUGAAAAUAUCGCGGACACGAAAAAAAAAAAAAUGUUACCCCCCUCGUAAAACUUAAAUUCUAGACGCUCAAUUCGACGUUACGUGUGUACAUGUAAUGUGUUUAAUGGUGUUUAUUCGGCACGUUCGACUGAAAUAGAUAUUGAAAUUAAUUAAAACCGGGGUGAACUGUUUGUCCGCAAUUUUUAAAACGUCGUUCCAAAUUAGGGCGCUUCUGUGGAUGGAUCUUUCCAUUUGAAUUUGUUCCCUCUUAUUAAUUUCGAUCCGACAGUUAUUAGAAAUUCGGAUUUUUUUGGGGGCGGAGGGGUUGAAUAUCUAUGUCAGUUCGAGUUGUGCAAAUUCGCUCUAAUAAAUGUAAUUCAGAAAAAAACCAAUAGAUAAGCUUAAGAAUAAUAAACAUUAAGUACACGUAUAUUCUAAAGAAAUUUUAAAAUUUAAGAUAUGUAAAAUUUAGGCUACUACAGAUUUAUUAAAACUAAGAUUUUCCAAAUUUAGACAUAGCGAAAAUAUAUAUAUAGAAAUAAUCAGCUUUGUUUUGUUAUUGAUACUAUUUGUAAACAAUUCACUAAAAAUAGUAAUUUAAAUGGAAAUAUUUAUUUUUAUUUACAUUUCUGCAACUGCCAAAAUAUAUUGGAAAAAUGUAAAUGUCAUUGAUUUUAUAAAAUACAUAUCUUUUGUCACAAUAAAAAAAUUCAACUUCACAUGUGUUGUAUUAAACUCAAAAAAUAUUACGUUACUGUUAGAAAUAUAAAUAAAAAUAUUUCACUUUAAAUUGAUCUGAGCAAUACUUUUGAAUGAAUAAGUUGUUUAAGUUAACAAUUAACCACCAUGAACAAGUCACAACUGAUUGAUAAACAUUUAAAUUUAAACAAGGUAUUCAUUUAAUUUUUUUACUUAUAAUAAGAGGCUUUAAUUCCAUACGCUUUACAGUACAUAAUCAAUAAAACAUGAUAGAAAUAUUGACAAAUAUUGAUCAUUAAUAAUUUAAUUGUUUUGAUUACAAGCAAUCACUUGUUCGUUUACCAAUUCUAAAUCAUGAUGUUUUCCAUAUUUUGCAUGAAAUAAAAUUGUAUUACUGUGAUUGCACCGAAGCACAACUUUGAAUUAUCAAUGUAAAUAAUUCUAAUUGAUCAUUAGUGUAAGUGCUUUUCGUACAAAACAAAUUACAUCACAUUCAACAACAAAAAAAAAAUCACCUGCUGUAUCGAUUUCUGUAAUACUCUUAAGGUUAUUAUAAAUAAACAUUAAAAAAGUUGA